Molecule: long non-coding RNA, 2533 nt
Organism: Notolabrus celidotus (New Zealand spotty)
Lineage: Eukaryota; Metazoa; Chordata; Actinopteri; Labriformes; Labridae
Exons: 3
Source: RefSeq, a predicted model, not a curated record
UCCAAUCCGUGACUCAAAACCGUGAUCUAAUCCAAACUGUGAGUUUUUUGAUCCGUUGCACCCCUAUCGUUCACAUUCACUCACUUCUCCAUUACAAACCAAUCAAAACAAAGAAGAGGCGGGACUUCUAAUGGCAGAGGUCUUCAUGGAAACAAACUACUACAGAGUACACAGAGCAUUUUAAAACAGACUUAACGAUCACAAAGGGAAGCAGAUGACUGCCAAGGGACAACUUCUGUAACCUUGCAGCUGUAAUCGUCGGUGUUAAGUGCUCUGAAAUUGAGGUUGACGACAGUGUUGCCAACUACCCAGUACGGAAAGUAGCUAUUGGCUGUCCUAAAAGUCGCUAGAAGUCACUAAAUGAUGUCAUCACUUAAUUUGAAUAAUUGAAAAUGUGCUUGAAUUUGUAAUGGACGCUGCAGGAGAGACAAGUAACAUUGGGGGAGAGACAAUAAUCUGGAAGUGGAGGGUUGAACAUCUCCUGCUCUGACUGCAGCUAGAAGCGACUGCUGCAUGACUAGGACUGUGCUUUGGGAUGAGGGAGGGACCUGCAAGCAGCACCCACUGCUCGUUGAGAAGAGUAAGAACAAUAGGUGCUUUCACAUCAGCACGUCUCCAACAACACCAGAAAAGGUUACUAGAUUUGUUGUUAGUUACUUUUUUGAAAAAGAGUCUGAAACUUGCUUGAUAUAGUGACAAAGUCCCUAAGAUGGUAACACUGGUCAGGGACGCUGUCAGUGCAGAAAAUGUUGGCAGUGGAAACAGGCCCUAAUGUGAGCAACAGAGGAUUAAAGACACAAAUCCUGGUCUCUGUUGUCUUUUACUCUCUAACAGCACACUCAAAUCUCUUAAGUCUUUUAGUUAAGACGAGCACUCAAGGUUGGACAGAUACUCAGACUUGAUGAAGAUGUGUCCUACUAUAGAUUGUGAUAAUGGAUCAGAUUGUAAUGUGUUCUCUCUCUCCUCUGUAUAAAGUCACAGGGUUCACAUCCAGCUCCUCUGAUCUUCAGAUGGCUGACUGCAUUUCCUGGUCAACCAGCUGAGUUUAUGGGCUAAUUAGCUAAUGGUAGAUCUCAGCUGAGGCCUGCCUCCUUAACCAAUCACAACACAUGCCUUGUGAUGCAUGAGAUCCAUAUUACAGCAGGUCUAUAGCCUUCACUAAUGGUGGCAAGUGGAAACGCUGUGAUGCUCUGACUCCCUGCUCUCUCUCUUGCUCUCUGUCUCUGCUCAUUUGUUCUUCCUGAAGACUCAUCAUUUCUCUUUUGACCACCCGUUCAUUUUUCUUAUCAUUUUUUUUACAUCUACGUCUGGCCUCUCAUUUAUUUCUUCCCUCUCCUCCUUUGUUAGUCUCCCCCUCCAUCUCUCUGACUGAUAUAGACUAGUGGGGGCAAGUGGGAGUGGACCAGUGCGUGUGAGCGAUGGAGGUGUCUGCCCUCUUCAGUCAAUGCUACGGAGUGCAAGUAUCGAUUUUUUUGGACAGCUGGAGAGAGACAGAAAAUGCAGGGAGCAGAGAGCAGGGGAAGAUGUGCGGAAGAUGGUCGUGGCCAGGAGUUGAACCUACGAGCACUGUAACAAGGACUACAGACCUUGUACAUGGGGCCUACGCUUAGACAACUAGGCCAGUUGCAGUUUUUCUUUUUCUUUUUUGUAAUGUUUUAAAAAAUAAAGGUAAAUAUAAAUUUUAAGACCUGCAGACUCAAAAAUAAGGAUGCCAAGAGAGAAGCUGUUGUAAUACGAAACUGUCAUCACAUGCAGAAUUUCUUUCCUUAAAGCUCCUGUGAGGAACUUAGUUUACGUUGAGGACAAAGUGUUACAUACUAUCUCUUGUUAAUAAAAAAAUCUAAUGCUGUUUCCUUUUUCAAAGUAAAACUCAGUUAAGUUGUUUUUUAAAUGUAAAUAAAAGUCUGUUUCAGUUGCAUGCUGUUUAUCUCCUUGUUUGACGCCUGCCCUGAGGCACAGGUGUCAUUCUGGUGUUUAUAGCUCUAUAGAGGUAAUCCAGCUUGUCAAAGAUCGUCUUGCGUUCUUUAUUGAGACAUAAAGAGGUAUCAGUGCUUAUUUUAGUCUGCUCUCUAACCACAAUAAACCCUUCACAGGAGCUUUAACAACACUAGCAAUUACAUUAUUUCUAAAUAUCAGUCUCACCAAAUACAAUGAUGGGCUUAUUUCUUCUCUCACCUCUGUUGCUAUUCCAUUCAUAAGAAAACAUCUCCAAUAAAUACAGUUUUUGUUUUUGUUACCUGUUGUUGUUCCUGAGUUUGACAUGCCCUCCAGGCUCCAGAAUCUGCCCGUUCUUCAGCCAGGUGAGCUGAGGCUCAGGCUCGCCCUGGGCCUGGCAGGUGAAGAUGGCGGUGGUGCCGACAGGGCGAGCGAUGGACUGUGGUGCCUGAAUGAACUCUGCAGGAGCUGCGGAACAAAGGAAACAGAGAGUCAGAUAAACUAGCAAUCCAGGGGAAGGAAAAAGAGGAAGAACAAACAGAGGCACACAUGAUAGCCUGCAGGUAAUCCCAGCAGCCGCCAUUUAUUAAUAAAAAAG